This 100-nucleotide non-coding RNA is filed under the name Saccharomonospora sp. RNAcentral's name for it is "Glycine sequence". It matches the Rfam family "Glycine riboswitch aptamer". From Rfam's summary of the family: This family represents the bacterial glycine riboswitch. Lineage: Bacteria; Bacillati; Actinomycetota; Actinomycetes; Pseudonocardiales; Pseudonocardiaceae. The record is from RNAcentral.
CGAGGCCACUCUGGAAAGCAGGCCCUCGGGCCUCACCCAAGGUGUAAGCCGCGCCUCGCGCGCGGUGAAACUCUCAGGUGCCCAUGACAGAGGGGGAGUU